RNAcentral lists this ribosomal RNA (466 nucleotides) under uncultured bacterium. Its description in RNAcentral is "partial 16S ribosomal RNA". It matches the Rfam family "Bacterial small subunit ribosomal RNA", at positions 28 to 505 of the family's 1533-position model. The record is from RNAcentral.
GACGAACGCUGGCGGCGUGCUUAACACAUGCAAGUCGAACGGAAAGGCCCUGCUUUUGUGGGGUGCUCGAGUGGCGAACGGGUGAGUAACACGUGAGUAACCUGCCCUUGACUUUGGGAUAACUUCAGGAAACUGGGGCUAAUACCGGAUAGGAGCUCCUGCUGCAUGGUGGGGGUUGGAAAGUUUCGGCGGUUGGGGAUGGACUCGCGGCUUAUCAGCUUGUUGGUGGGGUAGUGGCUUACCAAGGCUUUGACGGGUAGCCGGCCUGAGAGGGUGACCGGCCACAUUGAGACUGAGAUACGGCACAGACUCCUACGGGAGGCAGCAGUGGGGAAUAUUGCACAAUGGGCGGAAGCCUGAUGCAGAAACGCCGCGUGCGGGAUGACGGCCUUCGGGUUGUAAACCGCUUUCGCGUGUGACGAAGCGUGAGUGACGGUAAUGGGUAAAGAAGCACCGGCUAACUACG